AACAAGGAUUCCCCUAGUAACGGCGAGUGAAGCGGGAAGAGCUAAAAUUUUAGAUCUGGCGUCCUCCGGGCGUCCGAGUUGUAAUCAAGAGAAGCGUUUUCGCGUCGGACCUACCAUAAGUCACCUCGAACGGUGCAUCAUAGAGGGUGAGAAUCCCGUAUGUUGGUGGGUGCUCCGGUGUAUGUGAUGCGCUCUCGACGAGUCGAGUUGUUUGGGAAUGCAGCUCAAAACGGGAGGUAAAUUCCUUCUAAAGCUAAAUACGUUGGGAUGACCGAUAGCGAACAAGUACCGUGAGGGAAAGAUGAAAAGCACUUUGGAAAGAGAGUCAAACAGUACGUGAAAUUGUUAAAAGGGAAAC
Molecule: ribosomal RNA, 358 nt
Filed under: Tulasnellaceae sp. CBS 298.32
Lineage: Eukaryota; Fungi; Basidiomycota; Agaricomycetes; Cantharellales; Tulasnellaceae
Description: eukaryotic LSU rRNA
Rfam family: Eukaryotic large subunit ribosomal RNA
Source: RNAcentral